This 253-nucleotide ribosomal RNA is filed under the name uncultured bacterium. Its description in RNAcentral is "partial 16S ribosomal RNA". It matches the Rfam family "Bacterial small subunit ribosomal RNA", at positions 524 to 776 of the family's 1533-position model. The record is from RNAcentral.
UACGAAGGGGGCUAGCGUUGCUCGGAAUCACUGGGCGUAAAGCGCACGUAGGCGGCUUUUUAAGUCAGGGGUGAAAUCCUGGAGCUCAACUCCAGAACUGCCUUUGAUACUGAAGAUCUUGAGUCCGGGAGAGGUGAGUGGAACUGCGAGUGUAGAGGUGAAAUUCGUAGAUAUUCGCAAGAACACCAGUGGCGAAGGCGGCUCACUGGCCCGGUACUGACGCUGAGGCACGAAAGCGUGGGGAGCGAACAGG